This 461-nucleotide ribosomal RNA is filed under the name uncultured bacterium. Its description in RNAcentral is "bacterial SSU rRNA". It matches the Rfam family "Bacterial small subunit ribosomal RNA", at positions 29 to 524 of the family's 1533-position model. The record is from RNAcentral.
AACGAACGCUGGCGGCAUGCCUAACACAUGCAAGUCGAACGGGAUCCUGGCUUCGGCCAGGUGAGAGUGGCGGACGGGUGAGUAACGCGUGGGAACCUGCCCAUUGGUCUGGGAUAACUGCGGGAAACUGCAGCUAAUACCGGAUGUACCCGAGAGGGGAAAGAUUUAUCGCCGAUGGAGGGGCCCGCGUCAGAUUAGGUAGUUGGUGAGGUAACGGCUCACCAAGCCUACGAUCUGUAGCUGGUCUGAGAGGAUGAUCAGCCACACUGGGACUGAGAUACGGCCCAGACUCCUACGGGAGGCAGCAGUGGGGAAUAUUGGACAAUGGGGGGCAACCCUGAUCCAGCAAUGCCGCGUGAGUGAUGAAGGCCUUAGGGUUGUAAAGCUCUUUUACCAGGGACGAUGAUGACGGUACCUGGAGAAUAAGCCCCGGCUAACUUCGUGCCAGCAGCCGCGGUAAU